This 354-nucleotide long non-coding RNA is filed under the name Anser brachyrhynchus (Pink-footed goose). RNAcentral's name for it is "lncRNA (ENSABRG00000017114.1)". The record is from RNAcentral. Lineage: Eukaryota; Metazoa; Chordata; Aves; Anseriformes; Anatidae.
AUGGCACAGGAUAAGACCACAAAUGAACAUUUUGCGUUACAACCAGGAGAUUCCCAACCCAUCUAUGCACAAAUUGCCCAUAAGAAAGCGGAACGCUUCAGAAAGAGGGAUGCUUCCCUACUGGUUUGGACAGAAAUGCCAGCAGAGACCAAAUUUCAAAUUGCACAACACAACUUGAACAUCAGCCUUUCUGUUUUACGGUGCAGACCCUCUUGGAAGAGAGAAGGUUAUACAGGAGUAAAACACAGAGAAAGUACGCGUUGGAAGACAGCCUGUUUACCUGGGGAGAAUAAAAGGCUCACACCGGGAGCAUACCCAAGAAAUGACAAGAUAUGCUUCUCCUAUCAACCUUAA